Molecule: long non-coding RNA, 525 nt
Organism: Agrilus planipennis (emerald ash borer)
Lineage: Eukaryota; Metazoa; Arthropoda; Insecta; Coleoptera; Buprestidae
Exons: 5
Source: RefSeq, a predicted model, not a curated record
AAUUUUCUGAGGACAUAGUUGGUUCUUUUACUAAUGCAUAGAUAAUGGAAGAAAAUGAGCUUACAAACGUAGAAAAUGGAAUUUUCUGAGGACAUAGAUGGUCUCUUCUGCUACUGGAUAGAUAAUGGAGGAAAUUGAGUUUACAAACGUAGGAGAAGGAAUUUUCUGAGGACAUAGAUGGUCUCUUCUGCUACUGGAUAGGUAAUGGAGGAAAUUGAGUUUACAAACGUAGGAGAAGGAAUUUUCUUCAGACACCUUCAGUUGUGUUGCUAAUGGAGGAAGGUGGACGAAUUGGAUGUCACAAACAUAGAAAAAGCUGCCAUGAUGAGAAAUUCGUUUUGAAAUUUGACUACGUUCUUGAAUCAAUCUACAAUCUUCUACCUUCUUCUGCUGAUGCAAAGGAAACUAAUAAUUUUAUAUUAUAGGCUCAUUUUUUAAUUCAGAUUAUUAAUGUGUAAAUAAAAGUGGAUUUAUUGAAAAGUCCUUUAGUUAAAUAGUUUUCAUAUUUUAGAAAAAUGUUCCUUU